This 429-nucleotide ribosomal RNA is filed under the name uncultured bacterium. RNAcentral describes it as "bacterial SSU rRNA". It matches the Rfam family "Bacterial small subunit ribosomal RNA", at positions 355 to 776 of the family's 1533-position model. The record is from RNAcentral.
UGGGGAAUAUUGGACAAUGGGGGAAACCCUGAUCCAGCGAUGCCGCGUGUGCGAUGAAGGCCUGCGGGUUGUAAAGCACUUUCGUUGGGGAAGAAAUGCUCAAAGUUAAUACCUUUGAGAGUUGACGUUACCCAAAGAAGAAGCACCGGCUAACUCUGUGCCAGCAGCCGCGGUAAUACAGAGGGUGCAAGCGUUAAUCGGAGUUACUGGGCGUAAAGGGCGCGUAGGCGGAUAUUUAAGUCGGAUGUGAAAUCCCUGGGCUCAACCUAGGAAUUGCAUUCGAUACUGGAUGUCUAGAGUAUGGCAGAGGUAAGUAGAAUUCCCGGUGUAGUGGUAAAAUACGUAGAUAUCGGGAAGAAUACCAGUGGCGAAGGCGACUUACUGGUCCAAUACUGACGCUGAGGCGCGAAAGCGUGGGGAGCAAACAGG